RNAcentral lists this ribosomal RNA (369 nucleotides) under uncultured phototrophic eukaryote. RNAcentral describes it as "SSU rRNA". It matches the Rfam family "Bacterial small subunit ribosomal RNA", at positions 524 to 896 of the family's 1533-position model. The record is from RNAcentral.
UACGGGGGAUGCAAGCGUUAUCCGGAAUCAUUGGGCGUAAAGCGCCUGUAGGUUGUUUAAUAAGUCUGUUGUUAAAGACUAGGGCUCAACCCUAGAAAAGCAAUGGAAACUACUAGACUAGAGUAUGGCAGGGGUAGAGGGAAUUUCUAGUGUAGCGGUGAAAUGCGUAGAUAUUAGAAAGAACACCGGUGGCGAAAGCGCUCUACUGGACCAUUACUGACACUCAGAGGCGAAAGCUAGGGUAGCAAAAGGGAUUAGAUACCCCUGUAGUCCUAGCCGUAAACGAUGGAUACUAGAUGUUGUGCAUAACGUACAGUAUCGUAGCUAACGCGUUAAGUAUCCCGCCUGGGGAGUACGGUCGCAAGAUUA